GACGAACGCUGGCGGCGUGCUUAACACAUGCAAGUCGAACGGAAAGGCCCUGCUUUUGUGGGGUGCUCGAGUGGCGAAAGGGUGAGAAACACGAGAGUAACCUGCCCUUGCCUUUGGGAUAACUUCAGGAAACUGGGGCUACUACCGGAUAGGAGCUCCUGCUGCAUGGUGGGGGUUGGAAAGUUUGGGAGGUUGGGGAUGGACUCGGGGCUUAUCAGCUUGUUGGUGGGGUAGUGGCUUACCAAGGCUGUGACGGGUAGCCGGCCUGAGAGGGUGACCGGCGACAUUGGGACUGCGAUACGGCGCAGACGCCGACGGGAGGCAGCAGUGGGGAAUAUUGCACAAUGGGCGGAAGCCUGAUGCAGCAACGCCGCGUGCGGGAUGACGGCCUUCGGGUUGUAAACCGCUUUCGCCUGUGACGAAGCGUGAGUGACGGUAAUGGGUAAAGAAGCACCGGCUAACUACGUG
Molecule: ribosomal RNA, 468 nt
Filed under: uncultured bacterium
Lineage: Bacteria
Description: partial 16S ribosomal RNA
Rfam family: Bacterial small subunit ribosomal RNA
Source: RNAcentral